CGCCGCGUGAGGGACGACGGCCUUCGGGUUGUAAACCUCUUUUAGCAGGGAAGAAGCGAAAGUGACGGUACCUGCAGAAAAAGCGCCGGCUAACUACGUGCCAGCAGCCGCGGUAAUACGUAGGGCGCAAGCGUUAUCCGGAAUUAUUGGGCGUAAAGAGCUCGUAGGCGGUCUGUCGCGUCUGCUGUGAAAACUGGAGGCUCAACCUCCAGCCUGCAGUGGGUACGGGCAGACUAGAGUGCGGUAGGGGAGAUUGGAAUUCCUGGUGUAGCGGUGGAAUGCGCAGAUAUCAGGAGGAACACCGAUGGCGAAGGCAGAUCUCUGGGCCGUAACUGACGCUGAGGAGCGAAAGCGUGGGGAGCGAACAGGAUUAGAUACCCUGGUAGUCCACGCCGUAAACGUUGGGAACUAGAUGUGGGGUCCAUUCCACGGAUUCCGUGUCGCAGCUAACGCAUUAAGUGCCCCGCCUGGGGAGUACGGCCGCAAGGCUAAAACUCAAAGGAAUUGACGG
RNAcentral lists this ribosomal RNA (511 nucleotides) under uncultured bacterium. RNAcentral describes it as "bacterial SSU rRNA". It matches the Rfam family "Bacterial small subunit ribosomal RNA", at positions 395 to 916 of the family's 1533-position model. The record is from RNAcentral.